Non-coding RNA from Lupinus angustifolius (narrow-leaved blue lupine), 193 nucleotides. The record is from Rfam. NCBI's taxonomy places the organism in Eukaryota, Viridiplantae, Streptophyta, Magnoliopsida, Fabales, Fabaceae.
AUAUGAUCUACCUUUUGGCUAAGAUCAAGUGUAGUAUAUGUUCUUAUCAGUUUAAUAUCUUAUACGUAAGUUAUUGGCCCACAUGAUAUUAAAUUACUUUUUGAAAGGGGAAGGGCCACAACAGUAAUUUGCUAUUGGGCCUUCCAUGUGUCGCCCAUGCAUUGCACUAGAGCAUGGGCUUGGCGCACCCUCC